GGGCGCAAGCCUGAUCCAGCAAUGCCGCGUGCAGGAUGAAGGCCUUCGGGUUGUAAACUGCUUUUGUACGGAACGAAAAGGCUCUGGUUAAUACCUGGGGCUCAUGACGGUACCGUAAGAAUAAGCACCGGCUAACUACGUGCCAGCAGCCGCGGUAAUACGUAGGGUGCGAGCGUUAAUCGGAAUUACUGGGCGUAAAGCGUGCGCAGGCGGUUAUGUAAGACAGAGGUGAAAUCCCCGGGCUCAACCUGGGAACUGCCUUUGUGACUGCAUAGCUAGAGUACGGCAGAGGGGGAUGGAAUUCCGCGUGUAGCAGUGAAAUGCGUAGAUAUGCGGAGGAACACCGAUGGCGAAGGCAAUCCCCUGGGCCUGUACUGACGCUCAUGCACGAAAGCGUGGGGAGCAAACAGGAUUAGAUACCCUGGUAGUCCACGCCCUAAACGAUGUCAACUGGUUGUUGGGUCUUAACUGACUCAGUAACGAAGCUAACGCGUGAAGUUGACCGCCUGG
This 510-nucleotide ribosomal RNA is filed under the name Acidovorax delafieldii. Its description in RNAcentral is "bacterial SSU rRNA". It matches the Rfam family "Bacterial small subunit ribosomal RNA", at positions 373 to 876 of the family's 1533-position model. Lineage: Bacteria; Pseudomonadati; Pseudomonadota; Betaproteobacteria; Burkholderiales; Comamonadaceae. The record is from RNAcentral.